This 498-nucleotide ribosomal RNA is filed under the name uncultured bacterium. Its description in RNAcentral is "partial 16S ribosomal RNA". It matches the Rfam family "Bacterial small subunit ribosomal RNA", at positions 28 to 507 of the family's 1533-position model. The record is from RNAcentral.
GACGAACGCUGGCGGCGUGCCUAAUACAUGCAAGUCGAACGAGAGCGACCGGUGCUUGCCCUGGUCAAUCUAGUGGCGAACGGGUGAGUAACACGUGGGUAACCUGCCCAUCAGAGGGGGAUAACAUCCGGAAACGGAUGCUAAAACCGCAUAGGUCUUCGAGCCGCAUGGCUUGAAGAGGAAAAGAGGCGCAAGCUUCUGCUGAUGGAUGGACCCGCGGUGCAUUAGCUAGUUGGUGAGGUAACGGCUCACCAAGGCCGUGAUGCAUAGCCGACCUGAGAGGGUGAUCGGCCACAUUGGGACUGAGACACGGCCCAAACUCCUACGGGAGGCAGCAGUAGGGAAUCUUCCGCAAAGGACGCAAGUCUGACGGAGCAACGCCGCGUGAGUGAAGAAGGUGUUCGGAUCGUAAAACUCUGUUGUUAGAGAAGAACAAGUGCUAGAGUAACUGUUAGCGCCUUGACGGUAGCUAACCAGAAAGCCACGGCUAACUACGUG